This 468-nucleotide ribosomal RNA is filed under the name uncultured bacterium. Its description in RNAcentral is "partial 16S ribosomal RNA". It matches the Rfam family "Bacterial small subunit ribosomal RNA", at positions 28 to 507 of the family's 1533-position model. The record is from RNAcentral.
GACGAACGCUGGCGGCGUGCUUAACACAUGCAAGUCGAACGGAAAGGCCCUGCUUUUGUGGGGUGCUCGAGUGGCGAACGGGUGAGUAACACGUGAGUAACCUGCCCUUGACUUUGGGAUAACUUCAGGAAACUGGGGCUCAUACCGGAUAGGAGCUCCUGCUGCAUGGUGGGGGUUGGAAAGUUUCGGCGGUUGGGGAUGGACUCGCGGCUUAUCAGCUUGUUGGUGGGGUAGUGGCUUACCAAGGCUUUGACGGGUAGCCGGCCUGAGAGGGUGACCGGCCACAUUGGGACUGAGAUACGGCCCAGACUCCUACGGGAGGCAGCAGUGGGGAAUAUUGCGCAAUGGGCGGAAGCCGGAUGCAGCAACGCCGCGUGCGGGAUGACGGCCUUCGGGUUGUAAACCGCUUGCGCCUGUGACGAAGCGUGAGUGACGGUAAUGGGUAAAGAAGCACCGGCUAACUACGUG